RNAcentral lists this ribosomal RNA (504 nucleotides) under uncultured bacterium. Its description in RNAcentral is "bacterial SSU rRNA". It matches the Rfam family "Bacterial small subunit ribosomal RNA", at positions 15 to 507 of the family's 1533-position model. The record is from RNAcentral.
GAUCCUGGCUCAGGAUGAACGCUAGCUACAGGCUUAACACAUGCAAGUCGAGGGGAAACGACAUCGAAAGCUUGCUUUUGAUGGGCGUCGACCGGCGCACGGGUGAGUAACGCGUAUCCAACCUGCCCACACUUGGGGAUAACCUUGCGAAAGUAAGACUAAUACCCAAUGAUAUCCCACGAAGGCAUCCGAAUGGGAUUAAAGAUUUAUCGGUGAUGGAUGGGGAUGCGUCUGAUUAGCUUGUUGGCGGGGUAACGGCCCACCAAGGCUACGAUCAGUAGGGGUUCUGAGAGGAAGGUCCCCCACAUUGGAACUGAGACACGGUCCAAACUCCUACGGGAGGCAGCAGUGAGGAAUAUUGGUCAAUGGGCGAGAGCCUGAACCAGCCAAGUAGCGUGCAGGACGACGGCCCUAUGGGUUGUAAACUGCUUUUAUAAGGGGAUAAAGUGAGUCUCGUGAGACUUUUUGCAUGUACCUUAUGAAUAAGGACCGGCUAAUUCCGUG